AGAGUGGCGCACGGGUGCGUAACGCGUAUGCAACCUACCCUAUACAGGGGGAUAGCCCGGAGAAAUCUGGAUUAAUACCCCAUAGCACUAUGUUGAGGCAUUUCGAUAUAGUUAAAGAUUCAUCGGUAUAGGAUGGGCAUGCGUCUGAUUAGCUAGUUGGCGGUGUAACGGACCACCAAGGCGACGAUCAGUAGGGGUUCUGAGAGGAAGGUCCCCCACACUGGCACUGAGAUACGGGCCAGACUCCUACGGGAGGCAGCAGUAGGGAAUAUUGGGCAAUGGACGAGAGUCUGACCCAGCCAUGCCGCGUGCAGGAAGACGGCGUUCUGCGUUGUAAACUGCUUUUAUCUGGGAAGAAAAGGCCCAUGCGUGGGACAUUGCCGGUACCAGAUGAAUAAGCACCGGCUAACUCCGUGCCAGCAGCCGCGGUAAUACGGAGGGUGCAAGCGUUGUCCGGAUUUAUUGGGUUUAAAGGGUGCGUAGGCGGCUAUUUAAGUCAGUGGUGAAAGACUCCGGCUCAACCGGAGCAGUGCCAUUGAUACUGGAUAGCUUGAGUAUUGGAGAGGUACAUGGAAUUGAUGGUGUAGCGGUGAAAUGCAUAGAUACCAUCAGGAACACCGAUAGCGAAGGCAUUGUACUGGCCAAUAACUGACGCUGAUGCACGAAAGCAUGGGGAGCGAACAGGAUUAGAUACCCUGGUAGUCCAUGCCGUAAACGAUGAUUACUCGCUGUUAUGGCUUUAUGUUGUAGCGGCCAAGCGAAAGCGUUAAGUAAUCCACCUGGGGAGUACGCCCGCAAGGGUGAAACUCAAAGGAAUUGACGGGGGUCC
This 829-nucleotide ribosomal RNA is filed under the name Algoriphagus halophilus. RNAcentral's name for it is "bacterial SSU rRNA". It matches the Rfam family "Bacterial small subunit ribosomal RNA", at positions 92 to 922 of the family's 1533-position model. Lineage: Bacteria; Pseudomonadati; Bacteroidota; Cytophagia; Cytophagales; Cyclobacteriaceae. The record is from RNAcentral.